This 2092-nucleotide long non-coding RNA is filed under the name Equus caballus (horse). RNAcentral describes it as "lncRNA (ENSECAG00000045445.1)". Lineage: Eukaryota; Metazoa; Chordata; Mammalia; Perissodactyla; Equidae. The record is from RNAcentral.
CAUCCAAGCAAUUGCAUGUUUCGAUAGUUUCUUCUUUUGUAUUGACCUUUUAUCAUUCUUUUUUAUUUUUCCAUUCCAUUGUAUGGAUGUACCAGCAGUUUGUUUAUCUAUUUACCUGUUGAAGGACAUUUGGAGUCUUUCUCGUUUUUGGUGAUUACGCUUCUAUCAACUUUUCUGUUCAAGUUGUUGUGUGAACGUAAAAGAUCCUGCUUCAUUUGGAUGGCAACCAAGUCAGCCAUAUGGGAAGGAAAAUAAUCUAGUGAGUUGCAAAAUAAGAAAUCAUGGUCCAUGUGUUCCGUUGGAUGGCUUUCUUUGGGAUAUAAGCUCAAUGUGAAGUGGACUGUUGGUCAUCUGACAAAGGCAUAUUUUUGGCCCCAGUUAUCCAGUUAUAUGUCCACACUGGUAAUAUUAACCAAGGAAUUAUCUUUAUGUUGCGUAGACCUGAGUAAAAAAUACUUUAGGGCUGGCACCAUGGCUGAGCAGGUAAGUUUGCGAGCUCUGCUUUGGGGUAGCCGAGGUUUUUGCCAGUUCGGAUCCUGGGCGCGGACACAGCACCGCUCAUCAGGCCACGCUGAGGGGUUAGGCCAUGCUGAGGGGGCAUCCCACAUAACAUGACCAGAAGGACCUACAACUAGAAUAUACAACUAUGUACUGGGGGGCUUUGAGGAGAAGAAGAAGAAAAAAGAAAGAAGAUUGGCAACAGAUGUUAGCUCAGGUGCCAAUCUUAAAAAAACCCCAAAAAACCCCUUUAAAACGUGCCACAAAGCGUCCUUGCUGUUCUGUCGAUAUAGGGAAAUUUAUUCUAGGAAUGCAAAUAUCAUAAAUAUGGAAGAUCUCACAAUUGUAACAAAAAGAGGUUUCUUUGAAUCCACUUCAGUGAGUCUAACGUUUGAAUUGGAAAAGAGCAGAGACAGGAGAGAUGAAGUGACAUUCCCCCAAAGGCACAUUCCAGGAUGAUAUUUUAACGCAGCCUGUCAUCUUCUGCCCUCCCUUUCCUCCCAGUUUUUGCAUUCUCUCUCUUUUUUCUGUCUUUUCUCUUUCCCCCUCCUCUCUUUUCCCUGUCUUUAGAAACCCUUUAGAAGUCAGGGCAUAGCUAGGGUGCUGUGACAAUGGUGGGAAAGAGAGAAGAGAGGCACUGUUUCUAUUCAAACCCUUUAUAUCUUUUCUCAUCUUCUCUUCUAGCAAGCACGACAGGUUAACUAUGGAGAAGAUACACCAGUACUCACACACACACACUCACACACACACAGACCCCACUUUAUUCUGUGCCAGAGCAGAGCUCCUGAAAACUGCUGCCAAGUGGCAGCCACCCAAGAGACUGCUGAAUUUCUGGCACUGGGCAGAAUCGAUGGCUGAGGCCAAGUGAUUGUUGCUGAACUCACCUGUGUCGAAAGGUCAGCCUUGCGGUGCUAAGGCUGGGCACAGGCACUCGAGGCAAAUUGGAUUGUGAAUGGAGGCCCUGAGGCAUGUUCUGCACUUUGCAACUGGUCUGGCAGGCUCCUCCACCUCCUGAGUCUGCCACAGGCAUGGGAAACACCUGGGCAGCGACAAAGGCAGGAUAAAGAAUUUUCAGGCUCAAAAUGUCAACUGUGCAGAGGUCAAAGAAAAACCCUGCUGUAGAGAAAGAGGAAAAAAGGGAGAGAAAAGGUGACUUUGCAAAUCUGAGUCUCUGUGACUACAGACACGGAAAUUUCAUCAAGAGCAAUUAGAAGCCCAGAAGUUUUGCUGAAUUAUUGGAUACGGGGAUGAAUCAUUUCAACCAGCUUGAGCUUGAGGUUAAUGUGAGAGACACAGCUGGCAGAAGCAGUAGGCAGAAACGUUGUUAAACUGAAGCGAGUAGGAGAGAAAGAGUGGGUUGAGAAGUAAUUCACCUUGGGGUGAUGGUUGAGACCACAAAAGCAGUUGAAAUGUUCAAAGACAUGUGGGAAAAGAAGAGUAAAGGCAUUUUACUAGUACUUUAGAAACAUAAAUCCUUCACAUAAAUAGUGAAUUUUUAAGUGAUAUACAGUAAGAAUUAUUCCUGCAAGCCCAUCUGUUUCAACAUGAGGAAUCAAAACCUGAAUACCAACCUUGCUAAAAUAAAGGUUCCUGG